GUAACAGGUGUAUUAAAAAAUAAUUUAUAUUUCACCAAAGAUCCAUCCUGCAGUGUUAUCUCGCUUUGUCAGUAUUGGUUAUGUAUAUGUGUUUAUUUAUAUAUAUGUUUAUUUUCUGUAUUUAUAUUUUGGGAGCUUUUAUUUUGUUUGUGUGACCUUUGACUUCCCAUGAAGUCACUUCCUGUAGCUGCGCGCUAUUUUCCUCAGUCGCCUAGAGGCCCCGCUGAGGAGAGGUGAGCGUACGCUAGUGUUCUCAGUUACAGAGCAAAUAAACACAGUUAAAGUAACUAAAAGUAAUUCAAACACUGCUCGUUCCCUUUGUGCAUUUUGUCUCAUAGUUCUGUUAGAUAUUUUAGUGUGAAUUAAUGUUUCUCUGUCGAGUACAGCACUUUAUUGUAACAUGCUAGUUAGCAUGUCUCAGAUGAGAGCAUAGGAGCAUGCACGUGGCUUCUCAUGUGGUCCGCUAUCCUUCUCUCUCCCUUGAAGGUGUUCAUGCAGAAGUCCAGUAAAGUGAAGUUGCUGUACUGUUUUGUUUUUAUUUUAAACAGUUCUGGGAGAAUAAAUCCACCCAGCUGGCAAAGUGAGAGCUGACUCCUCUGGUCAUUCGCACAACACAACGCAGAGAACUAACGGCAAUAAGAGUUUAAGGCCAGACCGGCUACAGUGGUGCCGUGAGCCGGAUCCACACCACUUCAGAAUUGCUCAUCGUGGUUCGUGGAGACGCGAUCAACAUCAGUUUGGUCACCAGAGGUUGCUGUAAUGGACAAUUUAAUGUAAGCUCUGAACACAAAUCCCAAGCGUUCGAGGAAACACUUGCACCUUUUUUUUUGGACUGUUGUUUACAAGGUAAAUUUAAUUCUGCUGUUUGCAUUGUACAUAUGUUAUAACAAUGGAUGAUGAAAAAGUUUCAAGUGACGGGUUCAGCUUUGCCAUGGGAAGAGGGAGGGUAAUUGAGGGGUUGCCUAGUACACCUGUUUGUAGUGCAGGCUCCCCAGCUUUCUGUUCCACUCGCAUACUUGGUUGCACAUCUUCCAGUAGUGGUAAAGGUAACUCAUUCUCAGACCCUUCAGCUACAGCAGACCCAGCAUUAAAUGACCUGAUAACACAUAUAGCUCAACAGGUGGGGCAGACCAUUAGGGAUCAGUUGAAAAAGGAAUGUGGGGAAAGGGAUGACGGG
Molecule: long non-coding RNA, 1177 nt
Organism: Astatotilapia calliptera (eastern happy)
Lineage: Eukaryota; Metazoa; Chordata; Actinopteri; Cichliformes; Cichlidae
Source: Ensembl